GGUUAUCAAUGGAUCUUCUUCAACUUCAGCUACUUUAUUAGCAGCUCCCAAGAGUACAGAGACUUCUGUAUCUCAGUGAAAAUUCUAAUCUCUGGACGAUUGAAUCAGGCCACUAUAUGUUCAAGAUAUAAAGUACUUUCAGCUUGCUUUGAA
This is a long non-coding RNA of Arabidopsis lyrata subsp. lyrata, 153 nucleotides long. RefSeq lists it as uncharacterized. The record is from RefSeq and is a predicted model, not a curated record. NCBI's taxonomy places the organism in Eukaryota, Viridiplantae, Streptophyta, Magnoliopsida, Brassicales, Brassicaceae. The transcript is spliced from 2 exons.